This 19-nucleotide non-coding RNA is filed under the name Arabidopsis thaliana (thale cress). The record is from RNAcentral. Lineage: Eukaryota; Viridiplantae; Streptophyta; Magnoliopsida; Brassicales; Brassicaceae.
CUAGGUCAAGAGGGCUUCC